RNAcentral lists this ribosomal RNA (253 nucleotides) under uncultured bacterium. RNAcentral's name for it is "partial 16S ribosomal RNA". It matches the Rfam family "Bacterial small subunit ribosomal RNA", at positions 524 to 776 of the family's 1533-position model. The record is from RNAcentral.
CACGUAGGGUGCGAGCGUUGUCCGGAAUUAUUGGGCGUAAAGAGCUCGUAGGUGGUUUGUCGCGUUGUCCGUGAAAACUCACAACUCAAUUGUGGGCGUGCGGGCGAUACGGGCAGACUGGAGUACUGCAGGGGAGACUGGAAUUCCUGGUGUAGCGGUGAAAUGCGCAGAUAUCAGGAGGAACACCGGUGGCGAAGGCGGGUCUCUGGGCCGUAACUGACGCUGAGGAGCGAAAGCAUGGGGAGCGAACAGG